Molecule: ribosomal RNA, 459 nt
Filed under: uncultured bacterium
Lineage: Bacteria
Description: partial 16S ribosomal RNA
Rfam family: Bacterial small subunit ribosomal RNA
Source: RNAcentral
CCUACGGGUGGCAGCAGUGAGGAAUAUUGGUCAAUGGGCGGGAGCCUGAACCAGCAAAGUCGCGUGAGGGAUGAAGGCCCUAUGGGUUGUAAACCUCUUUUGCCGGGGAGCAAAGUGGCGCACGUGUGCGGUUUGGUGAGUACCCGGAGAAAAAGCAUCGGCAAACACCGUGCCAGCAGCCGCGGUAAUACGGGGGAUGCGAGCGUUAUCCGGUUUUAUUGGGUUUGAAGGGUGCGUAGGCGGACGCUUAAGUCAGCGCUAAAGUUGCGGGGCUCAACCUCGUCGAGCCGUUGAAACUGGGUGCCUUGAGUGGGCGAGAAGUACGUGGAAUGCGUGGUGUAGCGGUGAAAUGCAUAGAUAUCACGCAGAACUCCGAUUGCGAAGGCAGCGUACCGGCUCCACACUGACGCUGAGGCACGAAAGCGUGGGUAUCGAACAGGAUUAGAUACCCGGGUAGUC